This 301-nucleotide ribosomal RNA is filed under the name uncultured bacterium. RNAcentral describes it as "partial 16S ribosomal RNA". It matches the Rfam family "Bacterial small subunit ribosomal RNA", at positions 509 to 809 of the family's 1533-position model. The record is from RNAcentral.
CAGUCGCCACGGGAAUACGUAGGUGGCAAGCGUUGUCCGGAAUUAUCGGGCGUAAAGCGCGCGCAGGCGGAUCAGUUAGUCUGUCUUAAAAGUUCGGGGCUUAACCCCGUGAUGGGAUGGAAACUGCUGAUCUAGAGUAUCGGAGAGGAAAGUGGAAUUCCUAGUGUAGCGGUGAAAUGCGUAGAUAUUGGGAGGAACACCAGUGGCGAAGGCGGCUUUCUGGACUGUAACUGACGCUGAGGCUCGAAAGCCAGGGGAGCGAACGGGAUUAGAUACCCCCGUAGUCCCUGUCUCUUAUACA